Pelobates cultripes (western spadefoot toad) is the source of this 222-nucleotide non-coding RNA. The record is from the annotation of a GenBank genome assembly. NCBI's taxonomy places the organism in Eukaryota, Metazoa, Chordata, Amphibia, Anura, Pelobatidae.
CACCCCUUAGGUCCAGUUUGGUCUAGACAGAGGCAGUUUGCAGUCUCUCAAUUGGCUAACGAAUAAGAGGGAGUGGAUAUUUGUUUUUGACUGUGACAAACUCCCCUUUUUAAGGGAGUUUGCCAUGAGUUUUUGGAGGGGCCUGCUUGCCAGCAUCCUACCCUGGGACUAUAGGCCCUGUGAAAACCCAUGCUCAAAAGUACUGUUUCUGCCCCUGUGGAC